UCUGUAUUUGUCUCUGAAAUAAAAAUGGCAUGUUAUUAUUUGAAAAAAAAAUUCAAGGCCAGAUUUGCCAUCGCAUUGGAUCAUUGCAACCUAUAGAAGAUGCACAGCAUAAAUUCUUUCAAAUAUACUUCAUGGGCAAUAUGGAAGAACAACUUGACCGGCGUCAAGGGAUCAACACAGCUACGAAAAGAGCAAUUCUCCAAGAUCUACAGCAAAUGCUUCAAGAACAUCAUGCAUUGGUCAGGCUGUUCAAGACUGCUUUAGAGCGCAUGCCAAGUGAUGACUAUAAAGUUGUGAUCAGAGCAGAUAAAAGACCAGCUGGAACACAUGAACGCACAUUUAAUGCUCCAACAAUCGAUGAAGUGGCAAUCCUGAUUGUUGGUGAAAACUUGGAAACACGUGAUAUUGUACUUACAUGACGCAAUACUGGGCAACUACAAAGAAUAUAUGAAACACACCGCUCAUAUGACGCGUUACAAUACCCGCCGAUGUUUUGGCAAGGAGACGAUGGAUAUAACUUUAAUAUCAAAAUGAUUAAUCCAUUGAAUGGUGAGGAAACUACCAAGAAGGUUAGUUCGUGAAAAUUCUGUCAAUUAUUUGUUGCGAUUUCGUCGACUGCUUCAACAAUAUUGCGUUGACAUGUACGUUAAAAUCGAAACGGAGCGUCUGACUUUCAUUCGGUUGAAUCAAGCUAAAUUGCGUUCGGAAGAGUAUAUCCAUUUACGCGAUGCAAUUAGCACAGAAGGAGAUUCAGAAAAUGUUGGACGAUUGACUAUUUUACCGGCGACAUACAUAGGUAGCCCGCGUCAUUUGCAUGAAUAUGCGCAAGAUGCAAUGACAUAUGUUCGUCAUUAUGGUCGGCCAGAUCUAUUCAUUACAUUUACAUGUAAUCCGAAAUGGAUAGAAAUUAUUCAAUUGCUGCUUCCCGGACAAACAUCAAGUGAUCGACACGACAUCACCGCACGUGUUUACAGGCAAAAAAUUCGGUCACUAAUGAAUUACAUUGUUAAGCAACGCGUCUUUGGGAAUACUCGAUGCUGGAUGUAUUCAAUCGAAUGGCAAAAACGAGGCCUACCGCAUGCUCAUAUUCUGAUUUGGUUAGUCGAAAGAAUUCGGCCAGAUCAAAUAGAUGACAUCAUAUGUGCGGAGAUUCCUGCUCCUGAAACCGAUCCAGACCUACAUGAUGUUGUAGUCACGAAUAUGAUUCAUGGACCGUGGAUCGUGGACUAUCAACCGACAAUCACCGUGCAUGGUCGACGGCAAGUGUUCCAAACGGUAUCCACGAAAAUUGACGGCAGAGACCAUUACAGGCAACGAUGGUUAUCCAUUGUAUCGGCGUCGAUCACCCGAUGAUAAUGGUAGAACUAUCACAACUAAAGUGAAAGGAAACGAUUUCGUAGUUGACCACAGUUGGAUUGUUCCAUAUUUGCCACUUCUUUCCAAAACAUUCAAAGCACAUUGUAAUGUUGAGUAUUGCAAUUCGGUCAAGUCAAUUAAAUACAUUUGCAAAUAUGUCACGAAAGGGAGCGACAAGGCGAUGAACAUGUAAAAUGUCUUCUUCGUCCUAGAAGAUCUAAUCUUUCCCAGCGAAGCCGUAAUGCAACACUUAUAACUCGAGAACGGCUGGACCGAU
Long non-coding RNA from Drosophila obscura, 1633 nucleotides. RefSeq lists it as uncharacterized. The record is from RefSeq and is a predicted model, not a curated record. The transcript has 3 exons. NCBI's taxonomy places the organism in Eukaryota, Metazoa, Arthropoda, Insecta, Diptera, Drosophilidae.